AACGAACGCUGGCGGCAUGCCUAACACAUGCAAGUCGAACGAGCCCUUCGGGUCUAGUGUCGCACGGGUGCGUCACGCGUGGGAACCUGCCCUUAGGUUCGGCAUACCUCCCCGAAAGGGGUGCUAAUACCGGAUCAUGUCUUCUGCCCAAAGAUUUAUCGCCUUUGGAUGGGCCCGCGUUGGAUUAGCUAGUUGGUAGGGUAAAAGCCUACCAAGGCGACGAUCCAUAGCUGGUCUGAGAGGAUGAUCAGCCACACUGGGACUGAGACACGGCCCAGAAUCCUACGGGAGGCAGCAGUGGGGAAUAGUGGAAAAUGGGCGAAAGCAUGAUCCAGUAAGGCCGGGUGAGUGAUGAAGGCCUGAGGGUUGUAAAGCGCUUUUAACCGGGAUGAUAAUGACAGUACCGGGAGAAUAAGCCCCGGCUAACUACGUG
RNAcentral lists this ribosomal RNA (433 nucleotides) under uncultured bacterium. RNAcentral describes it as "partial 16S ribosomal RNA". It matches the Rfam family "Bacterial small subunit ribosomal RNA", at positions 29 to 507 of the family's 1533-position model. The record is from RNAcentral.